UUACACAUGCAAGUCGAGCGCCCGCAAGGGGAGCGGCAGACGGGAGAGUAACACGUGGGAACGUACCCUUUGGUUCGGAACAACCCAGGGAAACUUGGGCUAAUACCGGAUAAGUCCGAAAGGAGAAAGAUUCAUCGCCGAAGGAUCGGCCCGCGUCUGAUUAGCUUGUUGGUGAGGUAACGGCUCACCAAGGCGACGAUCAGUAGCUGGUCUGAGAGGAUGAUCAGCCUCACUGGGACUGAGACACGGCCCAGACUCCUACGGGAGGCAGCAGUGGGGAAUAUUGGACAAUGGGCGCAAGCCUGAUCCAGCCAUGCCGCGUGGGUGAUGAAGGCCCUAGGGUUGUAAAGCCCUUUCGGCGGGGAAGAUAAUGACGGUACCCGCAGAAGAAGCCCCGGCUAACUUCGUGCCAGCAGCCGCGGUAAUACGAAGGGGGCUAGCGUUGCUCGGAAUCACUGGGCGUAAAGCGCACGUAGGCGGCUUUUUAAGUCAGGGGUGAAAUCCUGGAGCUCAACUCCA
RNAcentral lists this ribosomal RNA (519 nucleotides) under uncultured bacterium. Its description in RNAcentral is "bacterial SSU rRNA". It matches the Rfam family "Bacterial small subunit ribosomal RNA", at positions 49 to 617 of the family's 1533-position model. The record is from RNAcentral.